AUGAGGGCCAUACCCUGCGCCGCGCCGCUCAUGCCGCUGCUGGUGGUUGUGGUGCUGCUGCUCGUCGCGCCAUGGCGAGGCGGCGGGGCGGCGGUGGCUCGAGCUCUCAACUUCACGAGGGCGGACUUCCCCGGGGACUUCGUCUUCGGAGCCGGCACGUCGGCCUACCAGUACGAGGGGGCGACCGGCGAAGACGGGAGGAGCGCAAGCAUUUGGGACACUUUUACUCAUGCAGGGAGGAUGCCAGACAAGAGCACCGGCGAUUUGGGCGCAGACGGCUACCACAGAUACAAGGAGGAUGUGGAGUUGAUGAGCGACGCCGGCCUGGAGGCGUACCGGUUCUCCAUUUCCUGGUCCAGGCUCAUUCCCAGAGGAAGAGGGCCCGUGAACCCUAAAGGGCUGGAGUACUACAACAACCUGAUAAAUGAGCUGACAAGAAGAGGAAUCCAGAUACAUGUCACCCUGUACCACCUCGAUUUUCCUCAGAUCCUCGAAGACGAGUACCACGGCUGGCUCAGCCCCAGGGUCGUGGAUGACUUCACGGCGUUCGCGGACGCGUGCUUCCGGGAGUUCGGGGACCGGGUGCGGCACUGGACAACCAUGGACGAGCCCAACGUGAUCGCCAUCGCCGCCUACGACAGCGGCGCCUUCCCGCCGUGCCGCUGCUCGGCGCCCUACGGGAUGAACUGCACCACGGGGGACUCCACCGUGGAGCCCUACACCGUGGCGCACCACUCCAUCCUGGCGCACGCCGCCGCCGUCAGGCUCUACCGGGACAAGUACCAGGCCACGCAGGGGGGCGUCGUCGGCAUGAACAUCUACAGCUUCUGGAACUACCCCUUCUCUCCCACCCCCGCCGACGUCGCCGCCACGCAGAGGUCGCUCGACUUCAUGGUCGGCUGGAUCUUGGACCCCUUGGUGAAAGGAGACUACCCUGAGAUCAUGAAGAAGAAGGCCGGGUCACGGAUUCCGUCCUUCACCAAGGAACAGUCCGAGCUCAUCCGUGGGGCCAUCGACUUCGUUGGCAUCAACCACUACACGUCGGUGUAUGUCAGCGAUGGGAAGAGCGGCGCCGACGCGAGCCUCCGGGACUACAACGCCGACAUGUCUGCUACAUUCAGAAUGUCAAGGAAUGAUAGCGGUACUGGUCAGUUCAUCCCUAUCAACAUGCCCAAUGAUCCACAGGGGCUGCAAUGUAUGCUCCAGUACCUCACGGACACAUACCAGAACAUCCCUAUCUAUGUCCAAGAAAAUGGCUAUGGGCAGUUCUUCAUCGACUCGGUCAAUGAUCAUAACAGAGUGGAGUACUUAAGUGGGUACAUCGGCAGCACACUCGCUGCACUCAGGAAUGGAGCCAACGUGAAGGGCUACUUUGUUUGGUCAUUCCUGGACGUGUUCGAGUUUAUGGCGGGCUAUUAUUCGCGAUACGGACUGCACUACGUUGAUUUUCAGGAUCCUGAGUUGCCAAGGCAGCCAAAGCUCUCUGCUAAGUGGUACUCCAAGUUCUUAAAGAGUGAAAUUGGGAUAAGCAUAGAGAAGAUGGUUAGUCCUGACACGAGGUCACAUGCUCAACAAUGA
This 1578-nucleotide ribosomal RNA is filed under the name Triticum aestivum (bread wheat). RNAcentral describes it as "partial small subunit ribosomal RNA". Lineage: Eukaryota; Viridiplantae; Streptophyta; Magnoliopsida; Poales; Poaceae. The record is from RNAcentral.